This 250-nucleotide ribosomal RNA is filed under the name uncultured bacterium. Its description in RNAcentral is "partial 16S ribosomal RNA". It matches the Rfam family "Bacterial small subunit ribosomal RNA", at positions 525 to 775 of the family's 1533-position model. The record is from RNAcentral.
ACGUAGGUGGCGAGCGUUGUCCGGAAUUAUUGGGCGUAAAGAGCAUGUAGGCGGUUUUUUAAGUCUGGAGUGAAAAUGCGGGGCUCAACCCCGUAUGGCUCUGGAUACUGGAAGACUUGAGUGCAGGAGAGGAAAGGGGAAUUCCCAGUGUAGCGGUGAAAUGCGUAGAUAUUGGGAGGAACACCAGUGGCGAAGGCGCCUUUCUGGACUGUGUCUGACGCUGAGAUGCGAAAGUCAGGGUAGCGAACGG